This 3717-nucleotide long non-coding RNA is filed under the name Cricetulus griseus (Chinese hamster). Its description in RNAcentral is "lncRNA (ENSCGRG00015041666.1)". Lineage: Eukaryota; Metazoa; Chordata; Mammalia; Rodentia; Cricetidae. The record is from RNAcentral.
UGUCUCACUAGUUAUGAAUCCCAUGUUUAUCCACUAAAGAUAUCUCAGAGUUUCAGAAUUAGCUAGGGGUAAUUUUCAUAAUAUGGCUAUUUUUUAUUAUGAGACAGGGCAAAGCUAGCCUUGAACUUCACAUGUAGACAAGUCUGUCCUGUUUGUAAUACUCUUGCCUCUGCUUCUGAGCUGCUGGAAUCACAUUUGAAACCGUGGGACCAGCUAAAUAUUUUACUUAGCAAUGUGCCAAAAGUACCUCUUUCUAAAAUUUUUGAUUUCUUAAUUAUUCUUGCCAAUAUGAAAAAUUACAUUGAAAAUUGACUUCAGAUAUGAGAAUUUCGGUAUGGUAUAAAUAUUAAUAAAGGUUGUCAUCAUUAGGACAAGACCUUACUGCAGACUAGUUCUAAGAGACACUAGAUAUACUGGGUUUAAAUGAAGACUUAAGAAGAGGCUGUUUGCUGGAAUGUUAAUUAAAACAAAUCUUUAAAAUCAGCAAAGUGUAAGAGAAGUCAUAGGUGGCCAGGGAAUCCACUGAGCUAAUAAAGCCCUAUAUAGUAAUAAGGAAUUAUCUUAAGUUGAUUCACCAAAUUUCCUACUACUGCUGUCUAAAAGUUUUAUCAAUAAGUUUAUUACUGCUGUUUUUAUUACUGUGUCCCCCCUCCCACCCCUGCUGUUCCAUUGCUCCCUACAAUGGAGAGCAAGCUAGAUAUAGCCUUUCUUUCAGUUUUGCUCUUCCCAGAGUUCCUAUUGGAACAUAGUUCUUUUUGGCCUGGUCUUUAAUAGAGCAGGGUAGCCUUAGUGAAUAUGUACCGUUUGGUUGUUUUUUUUUUUUUUUUUUUUUAAGUACAAAUUAAGUUUUAGUAGUAGCUUUUUAGCUAAAAAAAAAAAAAAGUUUAUUCUUUAAGUUUCCAUGUGAGUGCUUGUAGAUAAAACAUUACAAGUAAAAGUAUGCAUGUAUUUAAUCAGGUGAUUAUUUAGAGUGUGUUUUGGUAGAAUCAAGUUGUAUGUUGAGAAUAGUUGCAUGUUAGGUUUAUUAUAUGUAUUAUUUUUAUUUUCGUAAGUUAUUUUAGGAGAUUAUAUAGUAGACUAUAGGGUAAUUCAGGUUUUUUGUGUUAUGUCAUGAAACAAGAGUUUGAUGACUGCAGUCGUGAAUCGCUGCUAUAGUGAGUCCCCUUACCUUUUCCUCAGAAUACUGUAGUAAGAUAUUUUUUUCUCUUUUUAUUAUUUAGAUUUUUAUUUCUGUUUUUGGAAGUGAUAUUACUAUUCCUAAUAUAAUUUUAUUAUAGUAGUUAUAAAGUCUGUUUUUUUCCAACCAGUGAUUAAUUUUAAGUUGCCUACUUCAAGAUUAGGAGAGACACAGAUGACUUGGGCAGUCCCCAAUUGCCAAAGUUUAAAUGUUUUCUAAUUAGAUGACUGUAGUUAAACAACAUAGAAUGUUUUCCUGGAAAACAUUCAGAAUGAUGGGACCAUGUUCUCCUGGUUUAAAUCUUGUACUUUCAUUAUAGAUAAUUAUCUGGAUCUAAGUAAUAACAUUAGUAGCCUUUUAGAAAUUACUUGUAAAUAGCCUUGUAAACUGAGCAGCUAACCAUAGUUACAGCUUCCUAGAAAGGAGUUGUGCUGUUUCACCUGUGAUAAAUGUAAACAUUACAGCAGGUGGCAUAUAAAUAUAUGGUAUGCUGUUCUUUCAACAUUGUGGUUUUUUAUGCUGAUAGUUAAACUAUGUAAACAGUGUGCCAAAUCAGUCUUUUUGCCAGAAAUGGGGAUUAUAGCGAUAGAGCCAGGUUGUUGUGAUGGCUGAGCAAUCCACAUUCUAAGCCUAGCAUUGAUAGCUUUUAAUGAAAUCCUCAUUGGUAACCUUUUUACCUUUUUUUUUUUUUUUUGCCCAUUUUGGCCUUAUUGUUUACAAGAGCUGCCAAUAAUUGCUAAGUUUUUUCUUCUUUUUCAUACUUUUCCUUUAAAAGAAACAACUGAUUAUAGACAUUAACUUGAAGAGAUGGUAAUUGGUCAUCUAGAAAUAUGAUCAUCUUAUGAAGUAAGGAGGUUAGGUCGGAGAGGAAGAUGGGCAUCAGAGAAACUUGUUAUGGAUUUUUGCCUUUGACCUGGCAGGACUAGCCAUUUGGACAAGAAACUUCCCUUUCCUUGACAGCUUGAUAGCAUGCUGUCCAAACUGAACUAGCAUGUUACAAAGAAGAGUGACUGCAGAAGUUGCCAAGGAAGAGGAUGAUCCUUCAUGUUCCUACUUCAUCAGAAAGUCUGCCAGACAUUCUGUGCAUAUAGGCUGAAGAGGGAUGCCCCCAACCUGACAGAGGAACUUUGGGUGACAUUCUUCGAAGAGAGAGACUCUUUCUGGAGUCCUUGGUGGUGUUGAAGACUGAUAAAUAUGGUUAUGUAUUUCCUUAGUGAUAAUAAAAGAUAAGUUGCAUAUAAAGCUUCAAACUAACAAAGAUAGGAUAGAUGAUGGAAUAUUUUCUUAAAUUCUAUCAAAUGUUAAUGGAUUACAUGUUGGUAUUUAUAGUUUUUCCUUAUAAACUUUUGCAAUACAUAAUUGGACUAUAUGAAAUUUAAACUUCUUUGUUUUUCCAAACAGAAAAGAUGAGAUGAUGAGGGAUGCCCUUCUAUAUUUGUGUGAAUAUAUGUUUCUCUUCUUAGUUGAUGAAUAAAGCUGUGUUAGACAAUGGCCACUCAGGAUAUAGCAAGGGACGACAUAUAGUCAGUGCCAUGAGAGUAGGAGGUUUUUGAUAGAGAACACAGAGAGUGAGUCUUCAGACAGUUGCCAUGUAGUUUCUGCUGGGAGGAUAGCUGCCUGGUCAUUCUCUGGUAAGCCAAAACCACCUAGACAUUCACUGAUUAAUAGAAAUGGGUUAGUAGUUAGAGAGAACUAGCCAAUAAGUAUCCUGAGCCAAAGGACACAUAGCUUAUAAAAUAUAAGUCUCUGUGUGUAUCUGAAUUGUGGACGGAUUAGGCUGAACACUAACUUGUGCUUACACAUUGCUGUUAAUGGAACAUUUACUGAGUUGCUUUGUUUUGUGUACAGGGAUAGUAGAGUCCCUGUUCUAACAGUUCACAUGGUCAGCAAUGUGUUCCUGAGAAACAAUGCUGACCCCAAUAUUCCCUUUCUAAAUGUCAUAUGCAAACUUGUAUUGAGUUUUUUUUGCAUCCUGCGCCCAUUUGUAGUUUGUUAGUAAUAAAACAAUGUAAAAGAAUUUCUACAUGAUCAUCCUUUGCUUUUCAUAAAUUUGGGGGUCAAAUACCAACAAAUGUGGCUGAAGAAAUGUUCCUUUUAUUUUGGUCAAAUUACUGUGUAUGAUGUGACUUCUUUAAUUUUUAGUACCAAAAAUCUUAUGUAUUACACGUAGCUGUUAAAGUCUAUAGAUAAUUAAAAUGUAACUCAGAAAUAAAAAAUUAGUAUUUGAGUUUGCUAUUUGGAAAAGGUAUUGUCCUAUUGUAUCAAUUUCCUGUUACCUUGUGAAGGCAAAUAUUCUAAAUGUCUAAACUAUUCAAAUUGUUGUGCCUCCUUACCCAAAGGACAUGGAAACUUGUGAUCACAUAUUAACAAUAUAUAAACUCAUAAGUUUUGCCUUAUCCAUUGUGCAUUGUUUUAUUUGACUCAAAAAAUCUUAGAGAAAUUCAUAAAACAAGUAAUAAAUUAUGUGAGCAUAGAUUUGCAAAAAUGAGUAGUUUUGUUGGUACCAAGAAUACAAUCAGAUAAGGAACUGUGUGUGUGUG